Molecule: transfer RNA, 87 nt
Filed under: Danio rerio (zebrafish)
Lineage: Eukaryota; Metazoa; Chordata; Actinopteri; Cypriniformes; Danionidae
Rfam family: tRNA
About the family: Transfer RNA (tRNA) molecules are approximately 80 nucleotides in length.
Source: Rfam by way of RNAcentral
GGCUCUGUGGCGCAAUGGAUAGCGCAUUGGACUUCUAGAUUGGAUGUGGCCAUUCAAAGGUUGUGGGUUCGAGUCCCACCAGAGUCG